RNAcentral lists this long non-coding RNA (465 nucleotides) under Cyanistes caeruleus (blue tit). RNAcentral's name for it is "lncRNA (ENSCCEG00000000514.1)". The record is from RNAcentral. Lineage: Eukaryota; Metazoa; Chordata; Aves; Passeriformes; Paridae.
AGGACAUGUUCCUCCUCUCUCAGGGAGGAAGAACCUUUGGGGGAGUGGGUUGGUCCCUCCAAGCACAGGGCAGUGCUCUGGGAUUAGAGGAAUUCUCCAGGUUUGAGCUGCUGUGAUUUGGGUUUAUUCAGAGGGGAAUAAGAAUUUUCUAUAGAAGAGGAGAAAUACUGUCCCUGAGCCACUUGUGAACAUAAAUCCUGGGUGAUGGGCUGACUGCCACACCUGGGCUUUCAGCAAGAAAAAGGACAGGAAAAAGAUGAUGUAUUUUAUCUGUGGACUUCUGGAGAGGAGAUGUAGAAGUAAAACUGUCCCAUCAAACAGUCCAGUUUGAGUGUGUCACUUGAGAUGUAGCACAGAAUGAAGCCACUGUUAGGUGUGCAGGCAGGAUGGGCUCUGACAGAAAACACUGGUUUCUCUUUGCUUCUGGCAGGAGCAAGGCCAAAAUCUAUUGCUCAGGAUGAUUUU